RNAcentral lists this ribosomal RNA (459 nucleotides) under uncultured Streptococcus sp. Its description in RNAcentral is "bacterial SSU rRNA". It matches the Rfam family "Bacterial small subunit ribosomal RNA", at positions 925 to 1382 of the family's 1533-position model. The record is from RNAcentral. Lineage: Bacteria; Bacillati; Bacillota; Bacilli; Lactobacillales; Streptococcaceae.
ACAAGCGGUGGAGUAUGUGGUUUAAUUCGACGCAACGCGAAGAACCUUACCAAGGCUUGACAUCCCCUGACGACCUAUGAAAGUAGGAGUUCUGCCUUCGGGUAGACAGGGAGACAGGUGGUGCAUGGUUGUCGUCAGCUCGUGUCGUGAGAUGUUGGGUUAAGUCCCGCAACGAGCGCAACCCCUAUUGUUAGUUGCCAUCAUUCAGUUGGGCACUCUAGCGAGACUGCCGGUAAUAAACCGGAGGAAGGUGGGAUGACGUCAAAUCAUCAUGCCCCUUAUGACCUGGGCUACACACGUGCUACAAUGGUUGGUACAACGAGUUGCGAGUCGGUGACGGCGAGCUAAUCUCUUAAAGCCAAUCUCAGUUCGGAUUGUAGGCUGCAGCUCGCCUACAUGAAGUCGGAAUCGCUAGUAAUCGCGGAUCAGCACGCCGCGGUGAAUACGUUCCCGGGCCUU